Molecule: long non-coding RNA, 1813 nt
Organism: Gallus gallus (chicken)
Lineage: Eukaryota; Metazoa; Chordata; Aves; Galliformes; Phasianidae
Source: Ensembl
AGCUGAACCAGGAGAAAAUAAUCUUGCAAGACCUACUUGGAGCUGAUUUUUCUGAGGAGAGCUGUUUGUUUGUGAGCCCAGGCUGCACAGAGGUCUGGAGGUCUCACUAAGGUAGGGUAGAUAUCUAUACAAGUCACCCAGUGAGGUAGGAGGAAGGCAAGGAUCCCCAGGUCUGCUGUCGUUUAUCCUGGCCUUCCUCCUAGGCCUCUUGCCAUUCUCCGUAUCUGCACUUUGGUCUGUACAAAUCCACCGUUGUCAACAUCCCAGAAAUACUGCUACAAAUUUUCCCCUACAGCCAGACAGCUGAGCAGGAUUUCAGGAUGUGUUUCCUCAGUUACAGACUCCUCCUUCUAUAUACAGCAUAGAAUGAAACAGGGAGCAUGCAAGAGGCCUAUAUAGCUUUAAUGGACUCUGCUUUAUUACUGAGUUGCAUUAUCCAAGCUUCCCAGCUGGAACAGGCAAUUUCGGUUCAUUGAAGUCAAUGGAGACUUUGCUUUGUGAAGACAUCUAAAACUCCCAGUGAGAAGUUACCUGAAUCUGGCCACGUUUGAGAUCACUGUGCAAUGAAGAUGCAAAAUGAGAAGAUGGAAAAGGAAGAAGAGACCACCAGAUCAGAAUCCACAGCAACUUAGAAGUGGUUAAUCGGCAGCAUAAGGCAUUUGUGAUUCUUUACUCAUUUCCUUCAGAUCUUAAAACAGUGGAAAAUCUGUUAAACAAAACUCUCCUGGUUGAUACUAUUAACACGAUUUCUAUGGGCUCAGUGGAAAAUUCUAGAUACAGAAAAAACUGACAGCCGGGGGAACCUGGUUCCAAAAGGCUCCCAUGAUGCCACCUGGGGAGCAACAGAGUGAGUGCAGGGAUGACUAAUGAAAUGUGUCCAAGGACACUGGAAGCAAACGUGGCUUCUUCACAUAGGAGCAGAUGAUAUAGUGAGGAUGAAACAGAUGACCACAAAUAAGAAUGGUCUGAGACAGUGGGAAACAGUUUUGAAGGAAAACAGAGAGAUCUAGCUAUAAACCAGAUGGGAAAAGCAAAAACAAGUGAAGGUACCAGUGAGAAUACCAGGUUACUGGUCAAACUGACAUGGAAGAAAUUGAUUCAGAAAGGAAAAGCUUUUAAAGGGGAAAGUAUCUUCUUUCUGCUAUGUCCAGUAUGACUAAAUGAAAUAAACUCAGGCAUUUCUGAUCUUCCUUUCAAUAGAAACUCUCCAAGGCUUCUCUGGCCUCUGCAGGCAAUCACUUUAGGCUCUGAAGCAUGAGAUAUGAUUACCAUUAUAAUUAUCUUAGCUUGUAUUGAUAUGAAUGUUACUAAUGGUCAUAAAAUUAUCCAGCGUGGGCUCCCCUUUUCCCUUCCUUUUAGCCAGCCUCCAUGUUAGUGUCCUUAACUUCAGGGCUGUGAAUUUCUGAAGGGAGUACAUGCUGCAAAAGUCACUUCACUCCUCAGAUUCGUUCUAAAUAUACAGCUUUUUACAAUCCCCAGCCCACAGCUUCCCUUGGGUUUCUAAAGGAUUUCAAAUAAUGAAAAGUGAAUUGGGAAAUGAACUAUUGUUACGGGUGAAUUUUAUCAGAUAGUUUUAUGGAAAUUGCUGGAUUAUUUAUAUAUACUGUAAUUGUAACACGAAUCACUAAAUACAUUUGAACACUAAAUGUACUGCUUAUUAAUUUACAUUUUAAGAGUCCCCUUGUUCUUGCAUUAUGUGACAAUAUAAAAAGCACAGACUGAUUAGUUUUCACUAUUUCUCAGAUAAUUACGAAUACCUUAAUCAAGUCUCUUCUAGUUCCUUUUUAAAAUAAUUUAAAAAAAAAUAUUUCAG